UGUGUGUAGCUUAGUGGUAGAACACAUGCCUAGCAUGUUUGAGGCCCUGAGUUCCAUCCUCAGUACUGCAA
This 71-nucleotide transfer RNA is filed under the name Marmota monax (woodchuck). RNAcentral's name for it is "tRNA.Ala". Lineage: Eukaryota; Metazoa; Chordata; Mammalia; Rodentia; Sciuridae. The record is from RNAcentral.